GAUGAACGCUAGCUACACGGUUUAACACAUGCAAGUCGAGGGGCAGCAUGUCGGUUGCUUGCAACCGAUGAUGGCGACCGGCGCACGGGUGAGUAACGCGUAUCCAACCUACCCUUGUCCAUCGGAUAACCCGUCGAAAGGCGGCCUAACACGAUAUGCGGUUCUCAGCAGGCAUCUAACGAGAACGAAAUGUGAAGGAGAAGGAUGGGGAUGCGUCUGAUUAGCUUGUUGGCGGGGUAACGGCCCACCAAGGCGACGAUCAGUAGGGGUUCUGAGAGGAAGGUCCCCCACAUUGGAACUGAGACACGGUCCAAACUCCUACGGGAGGCAGCAGUGAGGAAUAUUGGGCAAUGGACGCAAGUCUGACCCAGCAACGCCGCGUGAAGGAAGAAGGCUUUCGGGUUGUAAACUUCUUUUGUCAGGGAACAGUAGAAGAGGGUACCUGACGAAUAAGCCACGGCUAACUACGUGCCAGCAGCCGCGGUAAUACGUAGGUGGCAAGCGUUAUCCGGAUUUAUUGGGUUUAAAGGGAGCGUAGGUGGACUGGUAAGUCAGUUGUGAAAGUUUGCGGCUCAACCGUAAAAUUGCAGUUGAUACUGUCAGUCUUGAGUACAGNAGAGGUGGGCGGAAUUCGUGGUGUAGCGGUGAAAUGCUUAGAUAUCACGAGGAACUCCGAUUGCGAAGGCAGCUCACUGGACUGCAACUGACACUGAUGCUCGAAAGUGUGGGUAUCAAACAGG
RNAcentral lists this ribosomal RNA (740 nucleotides) under uncultured bacterium. Its description in RNAcentral is "bacterial SSU rRNA". It matches the Rfam family "Bacterial small subunit ribosomal RNA", at positions 28 to 776 of the family's 1533-position model. The record is from RNAcentral.